UCUGUCUCCGUUUCUUAACAUUUCGUGGCGCAUGAGCAAGCCAGACAUCCUCCGCACAGCAUGGUGCUAGUGCAGGUAGGUGUUUGUUCUCUCAUUUCACCCAUUCAUACUCUGUUUAAGGCUUGAGCUGUGUGACUAAUUGGUUGGCAAGUCAAAUUCAAGGGGUAACAGCAAUGCAGAGCAACAGUGUGUAUUUUGUUUUCAGGGACACAGCUUCAAAAAAACACGAUUUGCAACUGAGCCAGUCUCUUUAUGCUGUCAUGCUGUUGUUGGCUAGAGUGUUUCAACACACUCACAGAGCUUUUUAGUCAGAUUGCUUAGGAGUUGGAGGAAAAGUAAGGAGGAGGAGUUGGCUACCAGUUACAGGGAGCAAAAUAAAUGAAAUCUAAAAAUACAUAUAUUUGGGUUUGUUUACUGCUUGUAACUGCAAACAAUUGUAGCUUAGUGUUAAACUUUUAAGUACUUUAAUCUUUUCUUUGCCAAGUUUCACAGACAGACUAUGCAUAUGUUGGCGUUUGUGCUUUGCCCGACAGAUGCUCUGUCAGAAAUUGACUUUUUAUCCAGAUUUGGGCCACAUUUUUGCAACUUUUUUUAUUAUACUUAGUCGUUUGGAACUGUAUCUUUUAACUGGAUAAAGGAUUUUAGUCAUCAGAUGUGGAUUUUAAGUUGUUUCAAGAACUAUUCAUAGCUGUGACAACACAAGAGAAUCUGACUGUAGAACACUCUAUAUCUUAUCUGAAGAAAUUCAGCUGCGUUACACUUUGCCUACUGUUCUGGCUACUUGAUUUGUCAGGCUUGUUUUUAGCUUGAUAGCAAAGCUAAAUGACUCAUAUAUACCAAUUUUGAACCAUGAAGACUCUGUGUAUGGAAGAGGAUUAGGGCCACAUGUGAGUCAGAAGUCAGAAGUCAGAAUUCUGAGUUUAAAGUUUUGGAUCCCUUUUGUCCUGUCUCUAUAGAUGAAGAGCCUUUAUAGGAAAAAUGAAACUCUCCUCAAGCCCACUAGAUGUCCUACCAACUUCUCUAUUUUUAAAGUUUUUUAUAUACAUAUUAACUAAACAGGCACUGGCCUUACAUCUAGGGUGCAAGAUUGUUGUGAGAUAAUACUGAGGCAUGGAUGUGACUGAAUCUCUGGUCUACUGCUUGUAACAGGGUGCUUUUGGAAGUUUUCACUCCCUGGUCUGUUGCAAUGGUCUCGUUUAACGGACUUUUUAAGGCUUCACUGGAGAGGAUCACAUCUGCUGCUGUGGCUGUAGCUGAGCUAAUAUCUCUAGUCAGCUGUUCACACGUAUCGAGAAUGGUCAUCAUGUUUUCAAUUAGCACCGAUUGGUAUACCCUUAGAGAUGCAGGUAAUGCAUGAUCUACUCCAUAUGCUGCGAGCGUUUGCUUCUGCUCCAACAAACUCCUCAGCAUAUAAAACGUGCUAUUCCAUCGCUUGGCUACAUGUUGUUGGAGCCGUGAGGUUUUCAUGCCCAGUUGUGUCUGUAAAUCUUUCAGACGGGAGGGGGGAAGUUGGGAGUGCUUAAAAUGCCCUGCAAUCUUCCUCCUGAUUGAAACACAGUCAGAUAUACUUCUUUGGCUCAGCCUUGUUCACAAGAAGCUGUAAAGUGUGUUCCAUACAGCCCAACCUUGCAACCCCACAUUUCUCCAUAGCUUUGGCCAUUUGUGUGCAUUGUCCCUAAACACAAUGUGCACCCUCUCCUUUGUAAUGUUCCACUGCCCAAACAUGAUUUCAAAAGCUUCGCAGAUCGCUGUGCUGUACAUGAACUGGAGCACUCCUUUACAAAUAAUAAUGUCCUUUUCAUGUUAAAGUCCUCAUCCAGCCACGGGGCUGUCAAACUAAGUAUACUCACUGGACUAACGUAAGAAGUCCAUGGUAAAACCUAUGUCGCUUACGUUGGUAUCAAUCACACUAUGAAUGUGUGUGGCGACCACAUCAUACAGGGCAGGUAGGGACAAGUCUGCAAAGUAGUGGCAGCUUGUGAGAGGUCACCGGGGUUCCAAAUGCGUCAGUAGCUGACAAAAUCCUUGGUCUUCUACUACAGAAAAAGGCUGGUCAUCAAGUACCAUAAAUUCUAUGAUUUUGUCAUUAAUUGCUUUAGCCUUUAGGCUGUCUCUAGUAAACUUCCUGCAGUUUUGAAAUCGCUUCUUUUUUUUUUUUUUUCGCCAACACUGACUGCUCGUGCUUCAUAUUCCCUCAAUACAUCUUUUUUGUGAUGACAGCUUUUCAGGUGACUUAAAAGAUUUGUUGUAUUAAAACUCGCAGACUUUUUCCCUCCUCUCAGAAACCUUUGCACAGCAUGUAUUACAAAUUGCAAUCGUGUUGUCUUCCUCUGAAACUGUGAAAAAAGUCCACAUCUCCCACCUGGUAAAGCCAUGUUUGGCUCUAGUCCACACUCGUGGCUCUAUCCAGGUGCAGCAGUUUGACAUCAUGAGUGCGACAACAGUAUUGUUUGUUUAUUUCUGAGCUGCAUGAGCUGAGCUUGUAGCUAUGGUCUCACUGUGGAUCCACAGCAGCACCAGGUGGGGGGGUGGGGGGGGCUAGACUUGCUGUGUUAAUUUUUUAUUUCGGUGUUACUGAUGUGAUAUGUGGGGUUGAAGGCUCCAGAGCUGUUUGAGCUAUCCAUCUUUGAUGGAGCUUUAGUGAGGUAAAUACUUUUUCAGUGAGUAAUAUGUAAUUGAUUACAUCUUUCACCUAACUUCUUCCUCUUAAUUAGUCAGUCAUAAUAAUGGCAGAUAAAGUCCAAUACAGCCAUUUGUAUCAAGCUAAUUUGAACUUCAUGAGCUCUUUGUGACAGCAAGGAAAAAGAAGUUACACUGUGUCCUGGCAGCAAGUAAUCGUCUGACUAUCAGGUCACAUCACAUAACAUCGGAUGCUCUCUGUCCACACUGAAACUAUUAAAUAUGCAUUUCUGUUACGUCAUGUAAAAAAAACCAUGCACCUAUCAGCUGUGCACUGAAGAUCAGACUGGAGACGUAACCACUCAAGUAAAAGAUGGGUGAGUACUUGCUGUCCUACAUUUCUACUUUUUAAAUAGAAAACACAUGUUUUGUAUGGUGAUAUUUAGAUGUUUCUUUAGUGGAAAUGACAUCUAACGUAGCAAACAGGAGCUUAACCAGAAACUUCCAGCUCCCUGGCGAUUUCCCUCCAGCCAGUUCCAGUGGACAUGUCACAAUAGAUGGAUGACUGACUGAAGAAACACAAGCUUGACUUACCACAAGAAUGAAUGCAAAAUUUAAAAAAGUAAAAAUGGAAUUCAGCAAACAGUUGGAUUAUCAAGAAUGAUUAUUUAAAGGUGAAGUCAAACCCAAACUAACCCUAAACCCUAAAAUUGUGAUAUAUUUUCAGCAAAUAAAGGAUUCAGUUCCAUUAAGAGAUAUUUGAUGGGUGGUAACAGUGUGUUACGUGUAACACACACCUCAUGGAUCCAGACAAUAACAAUAAGCCUUUUGGCUAUUUGGAUUCAUAAUACAUGUCACUUCGCACCCUCUCUGAAAUACUGCGGUGUGUGUUGGUAGCUUGAUGUAAAUGUCACUGUCCUUGUUUCGACAGAGAUUGUAAUUUUAACAUCAGAGGCGGCAUAGUAAACUACCUCGCCUUCCUCAGUUGUUUCAGUAAGUCAUUUUUUAUAUUGCCUUGAGUUUUUUCACAUAAUGAAAAUAAAACCACCCACAAACGAAGAGGACGUUCAAAAUAACACACGGUAUGAAUACUCAAGGCCAGAUGAACCUGAGUUCCAAAUAUGAUUCUGUUCCCUAUUUGUACCAUCACAACCUCUUUCCUGUAAUACAGUUGUUGUUGUUUUUUCUACCAGGUAUAAACUGGUGAUUUCCCUUCAUUUAAUUUCUUGCAUUUUCUUCUCUCCAUAUAGAACCCCAGUGUUCCCUUCACCUGAUGAUAAUUUGAUUAACUGUUUUCCUGUUUUGCUGUGCAGUCUGAACUCCAUGCCCUCAACCGGCCGACUUACUCAUCAUUACAAGAUCCAGACUCCAGCUUCUCACCCCAGCACACCGAACCCCAUUCUCUGCGAGAAGCCACCCCAGGGAGCAAGCAAGUAUUCCUACAAAACCUUCAUCAACUGGCUUAAACCUUGGUGCUUUCAUAAUUUGUAACUUCAACUGGCACUUCACAAUUUAGCUGUUGAACCAUUGAUUUGACUCACUGCUUCCCAAGUAACAUCAGUCAUCUCAUCUGUUUAUCAGGUCUCUCAUACCAACUGCAAAAUAGAUAACUCUGCAUCAUGCAUUCAAAUCAUUCACUGGCCAUUGAUUUGUGUACCAGUUUCCUUUUCCCUCUUGUGUCUUGCUUGUAAAAUGUUGUAGUGUUUAGUAAU
Molecule: long non-coding RNA, 4331 nt
Organism: Thunnus maccoyii (southern bluefin tuna)
Lineage: Eukaryota; Metazoa; Chordata; Actinopteri; Scombriformes; Scombridae
Exons: 3
Source: RefSeq, a predicted model, not a curated record